RNAcentral lists this long non-coding RNA (2789 nucleotides) under Amphibalanus amphitrite. Its description in RNAcentral is "uncharacterized LOC122378036, transcript variant X2". The record is from RNAcentral. Lineage: Eukaryota; Metazoa; Arthropoda; Thecostraca; Balanomorpha; Balanidae.
CCCACCAGACGGCCGGCGUCAGCCUGCCAUCACCAUCGGCGUGGAGGGCACGUCUGGCAGGGCGGACAUCGGGGGAAAGGGGGAGGUAAGGGAAGAAAAAUAUUGCUAUUUCAGGCAGCUCGGAAUUGAUCAAGGACUUCGCCGAAUUCCGGGACAUGGAGCACCAUUAUACGGUGACCCAUAUGCAGCUGGACCGCCGCUCCGCCUCUCCCCAUCCUCAGCGACCGGCAUCAGGAGUGCGUCUGAGGCUCGAAUGGAAGAUGGAAAUGUGGGCGGAGCCACGACACCAUGGCAGCUGGCCCUGAGGUUACAUUUUCGUGGGAAGGGGUGGGAGCUUAUGAGUUCCCACCUAUCAGAGCAAGGGAAAUUCGAAAUAGGAGGAGCACCAUCGAAGACAAAAUAUCACCAUGACUACGGCCCGCCGGAGGGCACGCUGCAAAAGUUGGACGAUUCAGAGCUCAAAUCCAGGGUCAAACUGAUGGAAACAUGAACCUUUUUGGCAAGGAAUACAACCAAUAUCGGAAGAAGAGGGGCGGAGCGAAGUUGAGGAUUCAGAAGAUGGCCCGAGGAGGCGGCGAGAGGGACAGAAAAAGGGCAGAAAAGAGAGAGGAGGACUCACGAGAAGGACGGACAGAGACAGUGGAGGACAGUCCAGUCGGUGGUGACGCAAGAGGUGGACGGGUCGGCGCCGUCUGGCGCCUGCCCUCAUCUCUAUCUCUUCGGUCAUGGCCAGCUUCCCGCCGCCGGCUCGACGACCCAGAGGGCUGACGCCAGUAAACAAGUAAGUCACUGCACGGGAGCCAAGACCUGCUCGCCGGUUACAUUCGCAGUCUGCGCCGGUACCACGCCUCGUCUGCUCGUCUCAAUCUCUCGUCAUUCAACGGUCAGCUCAGCGCCACCCAGCCAGCCAUUGUAUCAGAUUUGGCACCCAGCACCAAAAGCUUCGCCUUUGGCUGCCUAACAUUACCAGCCUACCGCUGGAGCGUCAAACAACGGAGGACCUGUUCAGGGCCCUCAGCGGUCCAAUGCUGGACUGAAAGAACGACGGCUGGAUUCUGACCUUCUGACACAAAAACGCUACGGGGACCUGCGCACGUCCACGUGGAGAGCUCAGGUCCGGUCCAUCGCCGACUUCCUGGACUAUGCAUUCAUUCUCGGACGCCGUGGCUCUCGGCGUGGACGCGAGGCGCUGGUCGCCUAUGCUGGGCACCAUGAAGGAACGUCUCGGUGGCUGGCGCCGAGCACUGAAAACAACCGAGCGAGACGCAGAGCAACACUACAGGGGCCAGGCGGAACGCAUUUUAAGCCUUGAGGCGCAGGAGCGCUUUCUGAGGCCGGACCUGGCAAAGGCGAUGGAGGUGAUCCCCGGGCCGGGAGAUCUCCCGACGCUACACACGGCCAGGACCGCCAGAAACCGUCUGAUGACCAUUCUGCUGAUGACGGGACGCAGAACUCGGCAAAAGCCACAAGCUGAUCAGAAACUGGACUUUCAAGACGGCCAGACAACACCGCCACGAAGCGCCAUGCCUCCUGAAGGCCUGGCACCGGCUGCGCUAUUACCGCGACCAGGAGAGGCCUCUCCUGCUGGCGGUCGGCAGUGGCGCCCCUUCUGAGGACAGCGGCCGACUGUUCAUCAAUCAGGGAGGCUCAGCCAUUGACUCGAGCAAUGCGGCUAAGAUCUUAAGAACGGUGUGGCUGGAGGCCAUGGGGGAAAAUGCCGACGUGCCAGCCCUGACGUCUCGCGGCAUCCGCUACGGAACUGUGAUCGGCCUUGCGCCGACGUCAGAGAACCAGGAGUAUGUACGUAGCGGCGUCGAUGGCGCACUCCCGAGACACCCAACUAUACGUGUACGAUGUGCACGGCGGGGUCGGCGUGUCUGCGAGGGCACGACGCCAUCAUAAGAAAGCGGCAGCGGCUCGUCGCUGGAGACAGCAGCGGCAGCAGCAGUGACUCCGAGUUCCGAAUGGGAGCAGCCCGAACACGCCACCACCGCCGAUUCCUCCGCUGCCGCUGAUUCUUCCACUGCGUCUCAAACCGCGUCGGUCCCUCUACCGAAGGUGAAGACGAUGCUGCUGCCGCCACCACUCCGGACGCCGCAGCCACUCCAUCAGCUGGUGGCGUCACCGCCACCGCCGGUACAUCAGCCGGUGGUCUGCUGCCGCCGCCUCUGCGCCACGUGGACGGCGACAGGGCCCAAGUGGUGGCACAAGACAGGAAGGAACGAUUUGGUCAUCAGCAGAGUCGCAAGCCCUAGCGUCUGCAUGCCGAGAAUUCAUAACCGGCGAAAAGCGGCGCUACGACGCUCGUGACAUCUCAAAAGAUGUCAGUGCAGUGCUGGGCCGCUUCACACCUCAGCAAAUCCACGACAAGGCGAAGUAUAUGCGCCGACGCUAUGUAAAAUAAGUGCGACACAAAAGUCCGUGACCAGAUCUUAUACCUGAUCUAUACAUUGAAGGCACUAGGAUUACCCGUUGCGCCGGACGCGGCUGGCCGCUGGCUUCUUUGCUUGAGGACCUUCAGUCGGUGGCCGCGGGUGCGUACUGCGUAUACUCGGGGCGGGCGGGAAGUCGUCCUUGUCCAGGCGGAAGCGUCCAAUUUUAUGUUAAAUCUUAUGAACUCUUAUGUUAAAAUAUGCCUUUUCUUUGCGUCUAAGUUUGUUAUGUUGUCCUUGAUCGUUGUAUAUGUUACAGGGAGUAUGCGAUUUCAGUUAGUUUGCAACGACCCUAGGGUGAAUGUAACCUCCCUGAACGAUCAGUUUGUUUGCAACGACCCUAGGGACGUUACAAAA